This 380-nucleotide long non-coding RNA is filed under the name Theobroma cacao (cacao). Its description in RNAcentral is "long non-coding RNA (TCAC_LNC002802)". The record is from RNAcentral. Lineage: Eukaryota; Viridiplantae; Streptophyta; Magnoliopsida; Malvales; Malvaceae.
CCGUUUCCGUUUCUCUCUCUUCGAUUAGCCGACAAAGUUCACAGAAUCAAAGAACAUCCACGCUUUAAAAAAAAUAAAUUAAAAUUAAAUUAAAUUAUUUUUAUUUUAUAUAAAAAAAAUUUUAAAAAUAUCAAACGACGAAUUCUCACUUAAAGUGUCUGCUCCGUUGCCGUACUCACUAAUUUCUCUCUCUCUCUCUCUCUCUCAGUCUCUCAAUCACUCUCUUAGCUUUGAUUCCUGUCUAUAGGAGCUAGAAAGCUAGUGCUUGCUUGGCUUUUUACUGUAAUGUGAAACCCUAGCUAAGCAUUUUUGGUUAGGGCGGGGUGUUCGUUUUUUUUUAGGUGGUGGUUGGUUUCGACGAGAUCCGGAGGGAGGGAGGG